Molecule: non-coding RNA, 31 nt
Filed under: Rattus norvegicus (Norway rat)
Lineage: Eukaryota; Metazoa; Chordata; Mammalia; Rodentia; Muridae
Source: RNAcentral
UGAGCUCUGUCCACAGAGAGUGCUGCCAUGC